Molecule: long non-coding RNA, 984 nt
Organism: Panicum virgatum (switchgrass)
Lineage: Eukaryota; Viridiplantae; Streptophyta; Magnoliopsida; Poales; Poaceae
Exons: 4
Source: RefSeq, a predicted model, not a curated record
GCAGCCCGAUUGCAACAAGUAGCAUCAUGCAUGGUUCUCCCCAGUCAGAUGAUUCUUCCCAACACUCUGAUUCAGGCAUAUUACUGAUAGAGAAUGCAAGUAAUGGUGGCCUCAGCUACACUAGAUCGAGGCCUGCUGACUGUGUCAUUUAUUCUCAAUAUAUAUCAACUAUGUGUUCUGUUGCUAAAGAUCCUUACCCAAGAAUUGCAACUAUUGGUCGGAGAGCACUGUCCCUUAUAGGUGUCGAGCAAGUGGUCAUGAAAAACAGAUUUAACAGUGGAGGUGCACAUCAAGGGGAGACAUCUGCACCUCCAUCAAACUUUGGAAUGGCACGCUCUUCUUCCUGGUUUGAUAUGAAUUCUGGAAACUUCUCAAUUGCAUUUAGGACGCCCCCUGUUAGCCCCCCUCAACAUGAUUAUCUUACAGGAUUACGCCGAGUGUGUUCUAUGGAGUUCAGAUCACAUCCUAUGAAUUCUCCUGAGGGCUUAGCUGAUCCCCUUUUAAGCUCUGCUGCGGCUCCUAGUAAUGCUGAACUAAGCAUACUUCCCCAAUCAACAAUUUACAACUGGAGUUGUGGACACUUCUCUAGGCCACUUUUAACUGGUUCUGAUGAUAAUGAAGAGGCCCAUGCUAGAAGAAAAGAGAGAGAGCAAAUUGCUCUAGAUUGCAUAGCUAAGUGCCAGUGAUCAUCAGCUUGCAAGAUGACAAGCCAAAUUGCUAGUUGGGAACUUGGGAUACAAGGUUUGAUUCAGGUACAAAAGCAGCAUUAUUGUUGCCAUUUUCUCCAAUCGUCAUCGCAGCUGAUGAAAAUGAACAAAUAAGAGUGUGGAACACUGGAACUACGAUGAUGCACUACCAGUGAACUCUUUUCAAAACCAUAAAUUGUCCGACAGAGGGCUAUCGAAACUCUUGCUUAUCAACGAGCUUGAUGAGAGCUUGCUUUUAGCUGCCUCAAGUAUGCUUCACUUCUCUAUGCUUUUCCUU